RNAcentral lists this ribosomal RNA (492 nucleotides) under uncultured bacterium. RNAcentral's name for it is "partial 16S ribosomal RNA". It matches the Rfam family "Bacterial small subunit ribosomal RNA", at positions 29 to 507 of the family's 1533-position model. The record is from RNAcentral.
AGUGAACGCUGGCGGUAGGCCUAACACAUGCAAGUCGAACGGCAGCACAGUAAGAGCUUGCUCUUACGGGUGGCGAGUGGCGGACGGGUGAGGAAUACAUCGGAAUCUACUUUUUCGUGGGGGAUCACGUAGGGAAACUUACGCUAAUACCGCAUACGACCUACGGGUGAAAGCAGGGGAUCUUCGGACCUUGCGCGAUUGGAUGAGCCGAUGUCGGGUUAGCUAGUUGGCGGGGUAAAGGCCCACCAAGGCGACGAUCCGUAGCUGGUCUGAGAGGAUGAUCAGCCACCCUGGAACGUGGACACGGUCCAGACUCCUACGGGAGGCAGCAGUGGGGAAUAUUGGACAAUGGGCGCAAGCCUGACCCAGCCAUACCGCGUGGGUGAAGAAGGCCUUCGGGUUGUAAAGCCCUCUUGUUGGGAAAGAAAAGCAGCAGGUUAAUACCCCGCUGUUCUGACGGUACCCAAAGAAUAAGCACCGGCUAACUUCGUG